This 218-nucleotide ribosomal RNA is filed under the name uncultured bacterium. RNAcentral's name for it is "partial 16S ribosomal RNA". It matches the Rfam family "Bacterial small subunit ribosomal RNA", at positions 57 to 305 of the family's 1533-position model. The record is from RNAcentral.
GCAAGUCGAGCGAUCCUUCGGGAUAGCGGCGGACGGGUUAGUAACGCGUGGGAACGUGCCCUUCUCUACGGAAUAGCCUCGGGAAACUGAGAUUAAUACCGUAUACGCCCUUUGGGGGAAAGAUUUAUCGGAGAAGGAUCGGCCCGCGUUAGAUUAGGUAGUUGGUGGGGUAACGGCCUACCAAGCCUACGAUCUAUAGCUGGUUUGAGAGGAUGAUC